Molecule: long non-coding RNA, 1015 nt
Organism: Chinchilla lanigera (long-tailed chinchilla)
Lineage: Eukaryota; Metazoa; Chordata; Mammalia; Rodentia; Chinchillidae
Exons: 3
Source: RefSeq, a predicted model, not a curated record
CUCUGUAGAAGAAAAGAGGGUGUUCAUAUGCAAGGAACAAAAGCGAGUGUGGGCACAUUUCAGGUGAAUGUAAGUGUUUAUAUUCCAUUCUUACAUUUAAAAGCCAACUGGACUGCCCAGAAGUUUGGAUGCAUUUGUUUUGUUCCUAAUAUUUUCCACACUGAAGAUGUAAGAAGAUCAUCUGAGAGCAACAGACCAAGCCACCAUGUCCCACCUGAAUUGUUCCAACAACUCCUCCCUGCGUCUGUGUUUGGCCACCUAGUCUAGUCCUGUCCCCAAACUGUGUGCUAAGAUACUCGGGACACCAGCGUGAACUCAAGAGGCCCCAGAGGAUAUUUUCAGUUUUCAGGAGAAACAGUGAAGCCUGACCAUCUAUCAGACAUCAAUGAACUCCGAGCUUGGAGUAGUUCACAGUUUCAACAAAAGACUGCAUUACACUCCUUUUGAUAAGCUCAAAUCUUCUCAUGACUGGACUUUAACAGCCACAAAGCAAGGGAAAAAAAAGUUCUAGAUUAAAAUCAGUGUGGAAAAGAAAGUAAGAGUAAUGGUAUCCAGUGUGAUUCCGAACUUUCUUUGGACAGUUGUACACUGCUCAAAAGGUACACACAUUCAGCUGGUAAGUAACUAUUUGUUACUUAUUUAAGAAUGAAAUGCAUUCGUUUUUCUCUCAAUUUACGUGUAUCUUUUUCUGUAAGUUGCUAGGACAUAAAUGGUUUGGACCUAACCACUUAACAAAUGAAACUCUUAGUUAUUUCUCUUUGCCUAGGGGUACCAGGAGACACUGUUCCCCGGCAGACAGCAGGGAUCUCUAACCCAGCUCUAGCUUCAGCACUGCAGUCCAGAGUGAUUCUCUUAAAACCCAAAUCCGAUCAGCUCUCUUCCCUUCACCAGUUCCCAUCUCAUGCAGCCCAAGUCCUCAACCUGUGUGCAAAGCUACACGUGAUCUGCUCUACCUGAUCUUGCCCCUGGCUGCUCUCCUCCCACCCCACCCCCGCCCCCACAGUGACACUAGAUU